CGGCAGCACAUGCACACACAAUAGCACACACGCAGGAGAUGAAGAUCUGAUUUGUCACAUUUGAAACGCUAAUGUUUAAACCAGGAGGAAGCGCACACACAGUAAUGCGCUCAUUCAUCUGCAUAAACACCACCUGUCCACAUGCACGCCUCCUCCAGCACUGAAAGUUUAGCGGCGGCGUGCACGCGCCCAAGCAGCGAGCCAAUCAGCGCGGGCCCAGCUGCGCUUUCGCCAACCCCGAAGCGUUUUCAAGUGUCAGAAAGCGCCGUGAGUAGCGUCGACGACUUUCAUUUCAUGUCAUCCGCCAGCGAGACGAAUAGGCGACACGCUAACAAAAAGAAAACAGGCCACGCUAGCACGAUUGACAUCCAAAGCCCGAUUCAAAGCGGAGCGCAGAUGGACUGCCGCCGUCACUGAGGGCUUUUCCGCCGGAAGAUGGGGGUCAUGGUCCCCGGCAGACGACACUCCGACAAGCCGACUACAAGGGCAUGCUGGUUCUCAUCUCCCGGCCUUCCAGAUGCAGCAGUUUUGACAAGGGCCAUCUGAUAUGAAGUGAAGACAUCUGAGGGGGGAAAUCAAAGCUUGAAUUGUGGAGCACCAGCACAGUGGCAUCAUUUCUUAACCUGCUACCUGCACACAACCUACCUGACCUCAAAUGCAUCGUACAUAACCUUCAACACAGUCUUCUCUGUGCUAGGAAAACAUCAAAACAAUUCACUUCUGUUUUGUUGGGACAAUUGAAACUAGUCUUGACAGCCAUUUUAAUUCUGCAGUAUGAUGCAAAAACUACAACUCUUGACUUUUCUCCAACAUUGACAAAAAUAUACAAUAACAAAAGUCACUAUAUACAAAUAUUGACACAACUAGGCAUCCCUCCCUACAUCAUGGGUCGAACAUCGCACUGUCAAGAGGCUUUCAAUGUUAAUGCAGACCUGCCAACAUGUAGAAAUGUAAUGUCAACAUACAACUUGUUGCAUUUUCCUGGUUUCAGCUUCAAGCAUACUCUGUAAAGCUCAGAUAAUGGGUGAUGGGUAUUCUACACUGGUCACUAGCUGUCAGUAACGUAUUGAUAUUACGUAUAUAUAUAUAUAUAUAUAUAGAUAAGACAAUGGCCAUAACAGGAAGUAAGAUGUCAAUGUAAGCUGUAAGUCUAUGCAAUGUCUAUACGUAUUCCAUUCAUAAAGAAGGAAUCCUACUUAGUGGAAAUUCACAUAUCACGUUAUGGUCUGGAACCAAUAUAAACGAGGGAUAUACUGUAAAAUAUUAGGGUUUGCAUUUUCUUGCAUAAAACCGUGUAGUUUGGAGCCAAAGUGGUACAUUAUAAGUAGGGAUCGACCGAUAUGGUUUUUGGGGGGCCGAUGGCCGAUUUUGCUUGGGCCGAUAUUUGUGGCCGAUACUGCUUUUGAUCCCUCAAUUUACAUGAAGAAAUGACCGUGAUAACAAAUAUUUAUUGAAAUGUAAACACUGAACACAGUAGGAUUCAGCUUUC
Long non-coding RNA from Doryrhamphus excisus (bluestripe pipefish), 1489 nucleotides. RefSeq lists it as uncharacterized. NCBI's taxonomy places the organism in Eukaryota, Metazoa, Chordata, Actinopteri, Syngnathiformes, Syngnathidae. The record is from RefSeq and is a predicted model, not a curated record.